This 443-nucleotide ribosomal RNA is filed under the name uncultured bacterium. RNAcentral describes it as "bacterial SSU rRNA". It matches the Rfam family "Bacterial small subunit ribosomal RNA", at positions 354 to 796 of the family's 1533-position model. The record is from RNAcentral.
GUGAGGAAUAUUGCUCAAUGGGCGAAAGCCUGAAGCAGCGACGCCGCGUGAGGGAUGAAAUCCGUUAGGAUGUAAACCUCUUUUGCGAGGGAAGAAUGACCCGAUGAAUCGGGUAGGGACUGUACCUCGUGAAUAAGCACCGGCUAACUACGUGCCAGCAGCCGCGGUAAUACGUAGGGUGCGAGCGUUGUCCGGAAUUACUGGGUGUAAAGGGUCCGCAGGCGGGGAGAUAAGUCGACGGUGAAAUUCUGCAGCUCAACUGCAGACCUGCCGUUGAUACUGUCUCUCUUGAGUUCGAGAGAGGAUAAUGGAAUUCAUGGUGUAGCGGUGAAAUGCGUAGAUAUCAUGAAGAACACCGAUUGCGAAGGCAGUUAUCUGGCUCGACACUGACGCUCAGGGACGAAAGCGUGGGUAGCAAACAGGAUUAGAUACCCGAGUAGUCC